GACGAACGCUGGCGGCGUGCUUAACACAUGCAAGUCGAACGGUGAAGCGCUUUCCUUUUGGUGGGUGGGGAAGAGGGGCGCAAGGGUGAGUUACAAGGGAGGUAACCUCCCCCUUCUUCCUGAAUAACGGAAGAAAAUUUGGCCUAUUACGGAAAAUCCGGGGCCGGUGGAUGAAGGGUUUUGGGAAGAUAUUGGUUCGGUGGGGGGUGGGCCCGCGGUCUUUUAGGUUGGUGGUGGGGUGAUGGCCUACCAAGGCGGUGACGGGUAGCCGGCCUGAGAGGGUGGACGGUCACACUGGGACUGAGACACGGCCCAGACUCCUACGGGAGGCAGCAGUGGGGAAUAGUGCACGAUGGGAGCAAGCCUGAUGCAGCGACGCCGCGUGAGGGAUGGAGGCCUUCGGGUUGUGAACCUCUUUCGCCAGUGAAGCAGGCCUGCCUCGUUUGUGGGUGGGUUGACGGUAGCUGGAUAAGAAGCGCCGGCUAACUACGUG
RNAcentral lists this ribosomal RNA (493 nucleotides) under uncultured bacterium. RNAcentral describes it as "partial 16S ribosomal RNA". It matches the Rfam family "Bacterial small subunit ribosomal RNA", at positions 28 to 507 of the family's 1533-position model. The record is from RNAcentral.